AUGAACCGCUAUGGUAUGCCAUUCAUACCUUUUGUUGGUCUUAACAAUCACCGGAAGACCACUGUUUUUGGUUGUGCCAUAGUUUCGGACGAGACCGAGGAGACAUACGUGUGGCUUCUGCAGACUUUUUUGAGGCCCAUGUGUCAAAAGAUGCCUAAGAGUGUUAUCACAGAUGCCGACGCUGCGAUGAUCAAGGCAAUUCGCGAAGUCUUGCCAGACGUGUGGCACCGUAUAUGUACGUGGCACAUGGAGAAAAAUAUGAAGAUUCACCUCAGUCACAAGUCCUUGAAGGAGUUCCGAACUCUUCUG
This 309-nucleotide ribosomal RNA is filed under the name Triticum aestivum (bread wheat). RNAcentral describes it as "partial small subunit ribosomal RNA". The record is from RNAcentral. Lineage: Eukaryota; Viridiplantae; Streptophyta; Magnoliopsida; Poales; Poaceae.